UCCAAUAGCGUAUAUUAAAGUUGUUGCAGUUAAAAAGCUCGUAGUUGAAUUUCGGGGUCAGUAGGUCGGUCGUGCCACUGGUAUGAACUGGUUUCACUGAUUCCUCCCUCUUGUAGAACCGUGAUGCCAUUAAUUUGGUGUUGCGGGGAAACAGGACUGUUACUUUGAAAAAAUUAGAGUGUNUAAAGCAAGCUAACGCUUGAAUACCUUAGCAUGGAAUAAUGAAAUACGACGUCUGUACUUAUCUUCUGUUGGUUUCUAGGAUGGACGUAAUGAUUAAUAGGGAUAGUNGGGGGCAUUAACUAUUACCAUUGUCNCUAGGUGANACUCUUGGCAUCUUUUGUAGACUANCUACUGCNAACCCCCUUNGCCNACGGACUGUUUU
This 385-nucleotide ribosomal RNA is filed under the name uncultured glomeraceous AM fungus. Its description in RNAcentral is "partial 18S ribosomal RNA". It matches the Rfam family "Eukaryotic small subunit ribosomal RNA", at positions 590 to 970 of the family's 1831-position model. The record is from RNAcentral. Lineage: Eukaryota; Fungi; Glomeromycota; Glomeromycetes; Glomerales; Glomeraceae.